GACGAACGCUGGCGGCGUGCCUAAUACAUGCAAGUUGAGCGCUGAAGGUUGGUACUUGUACCAACUGGAUGAGCAGCGAACGGGUGAGUAACGCGUGGGGAAUCUGCCUUUGAGCGGGGGACAACAUUUGGAAACGAAUGCUAAUACCGCAUAAAAACUUUAAACACAAGUUUUAAGUUUGAAAGAUGCAAUUGCAUCACUCAAAGAUGAUCCCGCGUUGUAUUAGCUAGUUGGUGAGGUAAAGGCUCACCAAGGCGAUGAUACAUAGCCGACCUGAGAGGGUGAUCGGCCACAUUGGGACUGAGAAACGGCCCAAGCUCCUCAGGGAGGCAGCAGUAGGGAAUCCUCGGCAACGGACGAAAGUCUGACCGAGCAACGACGCGUGAGUGAAGAAGGUUUUCGGAUCGUAAAACUCUGUUGGUAGAGAAGAACGUUGGUGGGAGUGGAAAGCUCAUCAAGUGACGGUAACUACCCAGAAAGGGACGGCUAACUACGUG
Molecule: ribosomal RNA, 497 nt
Filed under: uncultured bacterium
Lineage: Bacteria
Description: partial 16S ribosomal RNA
Rfam family: Bacterial small subunit ribosomal RNA
Source: RNAcentral